Molecule: ribosomal RNA, 450 nt
Filed under: uncultured Glomeromycotina
Lineage: Eukaryota; Fungi; Glomeromycota
Description: SSU rRNA
Rfam family: Eukaryotic small subunit ribosomal RNA
Source: RNAcentral
AGCAGCCGCGGUAAUUCCAGCUCCAAUAGCGUAUAUUAAAGUUGUUGCAGUUAAAAAGACUCGUAGUUGAAUUUCGGGACUAAUAUGUCGGUCGUACUUUGUACGUACUAGCAUUAUUGGUUUCUCCCUUCUGACGAACCACGAUGUCAUUAAUUUGGUGUCAUGGGAAAUCAGGACUGUUACUUUGAAAAAUUAGAGUGUUUAAAGCAAGCUCGUGCUUGAAUACAUUAGCAUGGAAUAAUGAAAUAGGACGUUUGAUUCUAUUUUGUUGGUUUCUAGGAUCGACGUAAUGAUUAAUAGGGAUAGUUGGGGGCAUUAGUAUUCAAUUGUCAGAGGUGAAAUUCUUGGAUUUAUUGAAGACUAACUACUGCGAAAGCAUUUGCCAAGGAUGUUUUCAUUAAUCAAGAACGAAAGUUAGGGAAUCGAAGACGAUCAGAUACCGUCGUAGUC